Unclassified non-coding RNA from Otolemur garnettii (small-eared galago), 110 nucleotides. It matches the Rfam family "Y RNA". Rfam says of the family: Y RNAs are components of the Ro ribonucleoprotein particle (Ro RNP), in association with Ro60 and La proteins. The Y RNAs and Ro60 and La proteins are well conserved, but the function of the Ro RNP is not known. In humans the RNA component can be one of four small RNAs -- hY1, hY3, hY4 and hY5. NCBI's taxonomy places the organism in Eukaryota, Metazoa, Chordata, Mammalia, Primates, Galagidae. The record is from Ensembl.
GGCUGGUCUAAAAGUAGUGAGUUAUCUCAAUUGAUUGUUCAUUGUCAGUUACAGUUCAAAUUCCAUAUUCUACUUUUCCCCUUCUCACUACUGCACUUGACUAGGCUUAA